UUUUUUUUUUUUUUUUAAGAUUAAAGAAAUCACUAAAUCAUAGAGAUUCACUAAAUCAUUGAGAUUGUAAGAUUGAAAUCAUUGGUUAUUUCCGUUUCUAACAUUUAUUUUCCUUCUUCAAUCUUAUUUUAGGCUUUUCCUGCCAGAACAGCAUGCACCGGAUAGAGUCCGUAAGGCAUACAGAGACAAGCCAUAUACUGUAAUUGGUAUGAGAGUUGCCUAUGGGAAUAUGUAGAAUAUCAUUGAUGGAUGUGAUGAGGCUUGAGUUGGAGGUAUUCAAUUUGACUUAGGAGCAUACUAGAGCAAGAUGACAAGAUAAGAUGGUGCUGAACAACCUUGAGAAAACAUGUAUGCAAAAAGAUCCUCAAUGGUUUGGUUGCUUACAACAUUAGACCCAUAAAGACUUUUAACAAGGAAAGCAUGAAGUCCAUAAACAAAGGGUUAAACUAUUUGAAUUUUGGUGUAUUUUAGGAUUAUAAAUGUUAUUUUGAGCUAUGACUCUAAAUUUUUAUGAUGUUAUGAAGAAAGGCUUUUGUUUUUCUUCUA
Molecule: long non-coding RNA, 546 nt
Organism: Quercus robur (English oak)
Lineage: Eukaryota; Viridiplantae; Streptophyta; Magnoliopsida; Fagales; Fagaceae
Exons: 3
Source: RefSeq, a predicted model, not a curated record